RNAcentral lists this ribosomal RNA (468 nucleotides) under uncultured bacterium. RNAcentral describes it as "partial 16S ribosomal RNA". It matches the Rfam family "Bacterial small subunit ribosomal RNA", at positions 28 to 507 of the family's 1533-position model. The record is from RNAcentral.
GACGAACGCUGGCUGCGUGCUUAACACAUGCAAGUCGAACGGAAAGGCCCUUCUUUUUUGCUUUGCUCGAGUUGCGCACGCGUGAGUAACACUUGCGUAUCCUGCCCCUGCCUUUGGGAUAACUUCAAGACACUGGGGCUCAUACCGGUUCGUUGCUCCUUCUUCAUGGUUGGUGUUGUGACGUUUCGGCGGUUGGGGAUGGACUCGCGGCUUUUCAUCUUGUUGGUUUGUUAGUGGCUUACCAAGGCUUUGACGGGUAGCCGGCCUGAGAGGGUGACCGGCAACAUGGGGACUGAGAUACGGCCCAGACUAGUAAGGGAGGCAGCAGUGGGGAAGAUUGCACAAUGGGCGGAAGCAGGAUGCAGCAACGCCGCGUGAGGGAUGACGGACUUCGGGUAUUAAACCGCUUUCGCCUGUGACGAAGCGUGAGUGAAGGUAAUGGGUAAAGAAGCACCGGCUAACUACGUG